Molecule: ribosomal RNA, 1017 nt
Filed under: uncultured bacterium
Lineage: Bacteria
Description: bacterial SSU rRNA
Rfam family: Bacterial small subunit ribosomal RNA
Source: RNAcentral
UGAGGAAUAUUGGUCAAUGGGCGAGAGCCUGAACCAGCCAAGUAGCGUGAAGGAUGACUGCCCUAUGGGUUGUAAACUUCUUUUAUAAAGGAAUAAAGUCGGGUAUGGAUACCCGUUUGCAUGUACCUUAUGAAUAAGCAUCGGCUAACUCCGUGCCAGCAGCCGCGGUAAUACGGAGGAUGCGAGCGUUAUCCGGAUUUAUUGGGUUUAAAGGGAGCGUAGACGGGCCGUUAAGUCAGCUGUGAAAGUUUGAGGCUCAACCUUAAAAUUGCAGUUGAUACUGGCGUCCUUGAGUACGGUUGAGGCAGGCGGAAUUCGUGGUGUAGCGGUGAAAUGCUUAGAUAUCACGAAGAACCCCGAUUGCGAAGGCAGCCUGCUAAACCGCCACUGACGUUGAGGCUCGAAAGUGUGGGUAUCAAACAGGAUUAGAUACCCUGGUAGUCCACACGGUAAACGAUGGAUACUCGCUGUUUGCGAUAUACAGUAAGCGGCCAAGCGAAAGCAUUAAGUAUUCCACCUGGGGAGUACGCCGGCAACGGUGAAACUCAAAGGAAUUGACGGGGGCCCGCACAAGCGGAGGAACAUGUGGUUUAAUUCGAUGAUACGCGAGGAACCUUACCCGGGCUUAAAUUGCAAAUGAAUUAUGGGGAAACCCAUACGCCGCAAGGCAUUUGUGAAGGUGCUGCAUGGUUGUCGUCAGCUCGUGCCGUGAGGUGUCGGCUUAAGUGCCAUAACGAGCGCAACCCUUAUCUUCAGUUACUAACAGGUCAUGCUGAGGACUCUGGAGAGACUGCCGUCGUAAGAUGUGAGGAAGGUGGGGAUGACGUCAAAUCAGCACGGCCCUUACGUCCGGGGCUACACACGUGUUACAAUGGGGGGUACAGAAGGCAGCUACACGGCGACGUGAUGCUAAUCCCCAAAACCUCUCUCAGUUCGGAUUGGAGUCUGCAACCCGACUCCAUGAAGCUGGAUUCGCUAGUAAUCGCGCAUCAGCCACGGCGCGGUGAAUACGUUCCC